Molecule: small nucleolar RNA, 84 nt
Filed under: Strix occidentalis caurina (northern spotted owl)
Lineage: Eukaryota; Metazoa; Chordata; Aves; Strigiformes; Strigidae
Also listed under: 1 other name
Description: Small nucleolar RNA SNORD103/SNORD85 (ENSSOCG00000016493.1)
Rfam family: Small nucleolar RNA SNORD103/SNORD85
About the family: This family includes the snoRNAs SNORD103 (U103) and SNORD85 (HBII-251) . The members of this family belong to the C/D class of snoRNAs which contain the C (UGAUGA) and D (CUGA) box motifs.
Source: Rfam by way of RNAcentral
UCUGGCAAUGAUGGCACACUUGCCCUCGCUGAGAACACUGUUCAAUAAUGAGCCUCGCCAUGUGUUCAGAUGAGCUGAGCCAGA